This is a non-coding RNA of Peromyscus maniculatus bairdii (prairie deer mouse), 147 nucleotides long. Lineage: Eukaryota; Metazoa; Chordata; Mammalia; Rodentia; Cricetidae. The record is from RefSeq and is a predicted model, not a curated record.
UGCUCUUCCUAUCAAGGGAACUCAUGUUCUCACCUACUAGGAAAAGUCAGAGAGAAAUUUCUUGAAGAAAAAGGGCAAUGGACCUGAUUCCAAACUUUGCCAUAGAAACAUUGGCACUGCUGGCUACCAUCCUGAUGCUCUUGUACC